AUGGCAAUGUUCUAUUUUCUGCAUUAUUUUUGUUGGCAUUUGGUUUUGGUUCUGCAGCUGAAGUUUGGCAUAAUACUUCUUUGUGAUAUCAGAGAAACCAGUGAUAGUCGAAGUUGGAAAUCAAAUGGCUUGUUUGCUGUUAGUGUGAUUGGUGGUUGUAACUGUUGGCUUAAUUGUGUCUUUCGUACCCCAAAUGCAAAUAGUAAAGGAAAUGUUUUUUCAUGGCGCAAAUGUGCAUGGCUGUUAGCAGUCAGGUCAUAUAUUCCACGUGGUUGCAUAUUGUUCCAUUUGGAAGGCGAUGACAGUAUAUGCAUGCUUGCCUAUUUUUGGCAGCAUGGAAGUCAGACAAGAUAUUUCUGUUUUUCCAUUAGUUAA
RNAcentral lists this ribosomal RNA (375 nucleotides) under Triticum aestivum (bread wheat). RNAcentral describes it as "partial small subunit ribosomal RNA". The record is from RNAcentral. Lineage: Eukaryota; Viridiplantae; Streptophyta; Magnoliopsida; Poales; Poaceae.